CCUACGGGAGGCAGCAGUGAGGAAUAUUGGUCAAUGGACGCAAGUCUGAACCAGCCAUGCCGCGUGCAGGAAGACGGCUCUAUGUGUUGUAAACUGCAUUUGUACGAGGGUAAACGCAGAUACGUGUAUCAGUCUGAAAGUAUCGUACGAAUAAGGAUCGGCUAACUCCGUGCCAGCAGCCGCGGUAAUACGGAGGGUUCAAGCGUUAUCCGGAUUUAUUGGGUUUAAAGGGUGCGUAGGCGGUCGGCUAAGUUAGAGGUGAAAGCCCGGGGCUCAACUUCGGAAUUGCCUCUGAUACUGUUCGGCUAGAGAGUGGUUGCGGUAGGCGGAAUGUAUGGUGUAGCGGUGAAAUGCUUAGAGAUCAUACAGAACACCGAUUGCGAAGGCAGCUUACCAAGCUACUUCUGACGUUGAGGCACGAAAGCGUGGGGAGCAAACAGGAUUAGAUACCCGGGUAGUC
This 460-nucleotide ribosomal RNA is filed under the name uncultured bacterium. Its description in RNAcentral is "partial 16S ribosomal RNA". It matches the Rfam family "Bacterial small subunit ribosomal RNA", at positions 338 to 795 of the family's 1533-position model. The record is from RNAcentral.